CCUGGCGGCCCUUGCGCGGGUGACCCACCUGACCCCAUGCCGAACUCAGAAGUGAAACGCCGUAGCGCCGAUGGUAGUGUGGGGUCUCCCCAUGCGAGAGUAGGGAACUGCCAGAC
This 116-nucleotide ribosomal RNA is filed under the name Escherichia coli. Lineage: Bacteria; Pseudomonadati; Pseudomonadota; Gammaproteobacteria; Enterobacterales; Enterobacteriaceae. The record is from RNAcentral.